Molecule: ribosomal RNA, 785 nt
Filed under: uncultured soil bacterium
Lineage: Bacteria
Description: bacterial SSU rRNA
Rfam family: Bacterial small subunit ribosomal RNA
Source: RNAcentral
AGAGUUUGAUCCUGGCUCAGGACGAACGCUGGCGGCGUGGAUUAGGCAUGCAAGUUGAGCGACGGUAUUCCUUCGGGGAUAUACGGAGCAGCGAACGGGUGAGUAACACGUGAACAAACUGACCCUACAUUCCGGAUAAUUGGGAGAAAUCCCUUGUAAUACGGGCGAGGAUCCAGAGAAGGCAUCUUUUUUGGAGGGAACGAGCAAUCGGUGCAGGGAGGUGUUCGCGGCCUAUCAGUUAGUUGGUGGGGUAAUGGCCUACCAAGACGACGACGGGUAGCUGGUCUGAGAGGAUGGUCAGCCACAUUGGAACUGAGAUACUGUCCAGACUCCUACGGGAGGCUGCAGUCGAGAAUCUUGGGCAAUGCACGAAAGUGUGACCCAGCGACGCCGCGUGAAGGAUGAAGGAGCUCUGCUUCGUAAACUUCUUUUAUGAGGAAAGAAAAGCCUUCGGGCCUUGACGGUACCUCAUGAAUAAGCCACGGCUAACUACGUGCCAGCAGCCGCGGUAAUACGUAGGUGGCAAGCGUUGUCCGGAUUUACUGGGCGUAAAGCGAACGCAGGCGGAUGGUUAAGUAAGAAGUGAAAGGUUGCAGCUCAACUGCGACACUGCUUUUUAUACUGGCCGUCUUGAGUAGCGGAGAGGGAGAUGGAACGACACGUGUAGCGGUGAAAUGCGUUGAUAUGUGUCGGAACACCAAUGGCGAAAGCAAUCUCCUGGACGCAAACUGACGCUGAGGUUCGAAAGCCAAGGUAGCAAACAGGAUUAGAUACCCCUGUAGUCC